This is a long non-coding RNA of Drosophila biarmipes, 1305 nucleotides long. RefSeq lists it as uncharacterized. The transcript has 2 exons. The record is from RefSeq and is a predicted model, not a curated record. NCBI's taxonomy places the organism in Eukaryota, Metazoa, Arthropoda, Insecta, Diptera, Drosophilidae.
GAAAUAACAUUUUUUAAUUAGUUCUGACUUUCGAAUUAAAUUUUAUCAAAAUCGGACGACUAUAUCAUAUAGCUGCCAUAGUAACGAUCGGAAAAUUAGUGGCAAAAUAAUAUGAAAAUAUUAUAUCUUCGGUGUUUUUUAACAUAAACUUCUUAGCUUGGAAAUAAAAUUUUUUAAUAACUUCUGAAUUUCGAAUUAAAUUUUAUCAAAAUCGGACGACUAUAUUAUAUAGGUGUCAUAGGAACAAACGGGAAAUUAGUGGGAAAAUAAUAUGAAAAAAUUAUUUACUAAAGUUGAUUAUUUCUUAUAACUGCAAGGGUAUACACACUUCGGCUUGCCGAUGUUAACUUCCUUUCUUGUUUUUUAUAUGAGAUUUGUUUGUUUUACCUUUGAGAUUUUUUUAUAUUUUGCUUUCUGUAUAAAAAAUGAAAUCUAAAGUCCCUACAAUUUUGCCUAAAUUUUGUUUUUUUUUUUUUGUGUCUGUUACAAAAAUAUUUUGAAGACAUGGAAAUGUAUCUAUAUGCAAUGUUUGUAAACUCUUAUAGGUUUGCAAAAGCGCCAGGCAGUCUCUCCUAUACAUUAUAGAUAACUUUCAGCAAAAUGUAGUCCAGUCACCGAGAAGUAAAUAAGGUAAAUUAGACAACUUACACUUAUAUACAAAAAAUUAAUUAAAAAGAAACAAAAUGUCUCAAUAAACCAACAAAAUACACAAAAACUACAAGGCAAAUUUAACAGAAUUUUUUUUUAUAAAUUUAGGAAAAUUUUGUUGAAAUUUGACUUUGUAUGGAACUGCUUAUUUAAAUGUAAUAAUUCAGCACUUCAAUAGAAUAGAGAAUACCCUGAACAUAUUGAUAUGAGUUCAUAACAAUAAGAUAAAAAUCAAAUCAAAAUUAACACUUAUCAUUCUUUUUUUUUCCUAUCAAAUUCAUAUGCCACCGCUUCAGUCUUUUUAUUCCCGUUUAUCGAAAUGUUCUGUCGAUUCGUCCAGUUGGAAAUAAAGACUGCAUCAUCAGAAUGUGUAGCCACGAGGGUACCUUUUCCCUAGGAUAUAGCAGACAAGCGAUAAACAAAGUGUAUAAAACCGAACCAGGAAUGCUACCUUGAGUUUCCAUUUCUUAUUUCUCUUAAAAAACAGUUAAAUUUCAUAAUUUCCUUCCGGCUUUUGUAUUAUCCAUGCUUGAAUAGAUUUGUCACCGAACUAACGUCAACACUGAACAUUGCUUAAAGUACUACUUGUGUAACUAUGUAUUUUAUCUGUUACGUAUCUGUUAUGUAUUUUGAUAAUAUAAGAUCCUAGCGUUCUGU